GAUGAAGAACGUAGCGAAAUGCGAUAAGUAAUGUGAAUUGCAGAAUUCAGUGAAUCAUCGAAUCUUUGAACGCAUCUUGCGCUCCUUGGUAUUCUGAGGAGCAUGCCUGUUUGAGUGUCAUUAAAUUCUCAACUACACUGACUUUGAAUUGGUGUGGCUUGGAUUUGGGGGGAAAAAUGUUGUGGGCUUUUUGUAUAGUCUGCUCCCCUGAAAUUGAUUAGCGGUACCUUUGUGGAACUGUCUACAGGUGUGAUAAUUAUCUACAUCUUAGACAUCUGCUGGAAUGCUGCUUUCUAAACCUUACUUGUAUUGACAAUCUUGACCUCAAAUCAGGUAGGACUACCCGCUGAACUUAAGCAUAUCAAUAAGCGGAGGA
This 376-nucleotide unclassified non-coding RNA is filed under the name soil metagenome. Its description in RNAcentral is "partial contains 5.8S ribosomal RNA, internal transcribed spacer 2, and large subunit ribosomal RNA". The stretch from base 1 to 120 matches the Rfam family "5.8S ribosomal RNA", at positions 35 to 154 of the family's 154-position model. The record is from RNAcentral.